This 1223-nucleotide ribosomal RNA is filed under the name fungal sp. Its description in RNAcentral is "eukaryotic LSU rRNA". It matches the Rfam family "Eukaryotic large subunit ribosomal RNA", at positions 103 to 1357 of the family's 3401-position model. The record is from RNAcentral. Lineage: Eukaryota; Fungi.
AACAGCUCAAAUUUGAAAUCUGGCCUCGGCCCGAGUUGUAAUUUGUAGAGGAUGCUUUUGGUGAGGUGCCUUCUGAAGUUCCCUGGAACGGGACGCCAGAGAGGGUGAGAGCCCCGUAUAGUUGGACACCGAGCCUCUGUAAAGCUCCUUCGACGAGUCGAGUAGUUUGGGAAUGCUGCUCAAAAUGGGAGGUAUAUCUCUUCUAAAGCUAAAUACUGGCCAGAGACCGAUAGCGCACAAGUAGAGUGAUCGAAAGAUGAAAAGCACUUUGAAAAGAGGGUUAAAUAGUACGUGAAAUUGUUGAAAGGGAAGCGCUUGUGACCAGACUUGUGCCGGGCUGAUCAUCCAGUGUUCUCACUGGUGCACUCUGCCCGGCUCAGGCCAGCGUCGGUUCUCGCAGGGGGACAAAAGCUUCGGGAACGUAGCUCUCUUCGGGGAGUGUUAUAGCCCGCUGCUCAAUACCCUUGUGGGGACCGAGGUUCGCGCUCUGCAAGGACGCUGGCAUAAUGGUCAUCAGCGGCCCGUCUUGAAACACGGACCAAGGAGUCGAGGUUUUGCGCGAGUGUUUGGGUGUCAAACCCGCACGCGUAAUGAAAGUGAACGUAGGUGAGAGCUUCGGCGCAUCAUCGACCGAUCCUGAUGUAUUCGGAUGGAUUUGAGUAAGAGCGUAUAGCCUCGGACCCGAAAGAUGGUGAACUAUGCCUGAAUAGGGUGAAGCCAGAGGAAACUCUGGUGGAGGCUCGCAGCGGUUCUGACGUGCAAAUCGAUCGUCAAAUUUGGGCAUGGGGGCGAAAGACUAAUCGAACCAUCUAGUAGCUGGUUACCGCCGAAGUUUCCCUCAGGAUAGCAGUGUUGUUCUUCAGUUUUAUGAGGUAAAGCGAAUGAUUAGGGACUCGGGGGCGCUAUUUAGCCUUCAUCCAUUCUCAAACUUUAAAUAUGUAAGAAGCCCUUGUUACUUAAUUGAACGUGGGCAUUCGAAUGUACCAACACUAGUGGGCCAUUUUUGGUAAGCAGAACUGGCGAUGCGGGAUGAACCGAACGCGGGGUUAAGGUGCCAGAGUGGACGCUCAUCAGACACCACAAAAGGCGUUAGUACAUCUUGACAGCAGGACGGUGGCCAUGGAAGUCGGAAUCCGCUAAGGACUGUGUAACAACUCACCUGCCGAAUGUACUAGCCCUGAAAAUGGAUGGCGCUCAAGCGUCCCACCCAUACCCCGCCCUUA